Molecule: microRNA precursor, 84 nt
Filed under: Bombyx mori (domestic silkworm)
Lineage: Eukaryota; Metazoa; Arthropoda; Insecta; Lepidoptera; Bombycidae
Description: mir-2807 microRNA precursor family
Rfam family: mir-2807 microRNA precursor family
Source: Rfam by way of RNAcentral
UUAACUCAAAUUUGUAUGGAGUUGCAUCGUUAGAAUACGUUUGCCGCGAGGGGCGCUGUUCCAACUGCAUACAAAUUUCAGUUA